This 253-nucleotide ribosomal RNA is filed under the name uncultured bacterium. RNAcentral's name for it is "partial 16S ribosomal RNA". It matches the Rfam family "Bacterial small subunit ribosomal RNA", at positions 524 to 776 of the family's 1533-position model. The record is from RNAcentral.
UACGUAGGGGGCAAGCGUUGUCCGGAUUUAUUGGGCGUAAAGAGCGUGUAGGCGGCUUUACAGGUCCGUUGUGAAAACUCGAGGCUCAACCUCGAGACGCCGGUGGAAACCGUAAAGCUAGAGUCCGGAAGAGGAGGGUGGAAUUCCUGGUGUAGCGGUGAAAUGCGCAGAUAUCAGGAGGAACACCGGUGGCGAAGGCGGUUCUCUGGGCAUGACCUGACGCUGAGGAGCGAAAGUGUGGGGAGCGAACAGG